This 62-nucleotide microRNA precursor is filed under the name Oreochromis niloticus (Nile tilapia). RNAcentral describes it as "microRNA oni-mir-10928 precursor". The record is from miRBase by way of RNAcentral. Lineage: Eukaryota; Metazoa; Chordata; Actinopteri; Cichliformes; Cichlidae.
AAGCACAGACUCUGGCUCAGGACUUGUUUGAAUUUCUCACUUCCUGUGCUGCAGUUUGUUGC